AGUGAACGCUGGCGGUAGGCCUAACACAUGCAAGUCGAACGGCAGCACAGGAGAGCUUGCUCUCUGGGUGGCGAGUGGCGGACGGGUGAGGAAUACAUCGGAAUCUACUCUGUCGUGGGGGAUAACGUAGGGGAAACUUACGCUAAUACCGCAUACGACCUACGGGUGAAAGCAGGGGAUCUUCGGACCUUGCGCGAUUGAAUGAGCCGAUGUCGGAUUAGCUAGUUGGCGGGGUAAAGGCCCACCAAGGCGACGAUCCGUAGCUGGUCUGAGAGGAUGAUCAGCCACACUGGAACUGAGGCACGGUCCAGACUCCUACGGGAGGCAGCAGUGGGGAAUAUUGGACAAUGGGCGCAAGCCUGAUCCAGCCAUACCGCGUGGGUGAAGAAGGCCUUCGGGUUGUAAAGCCCUUUUGUUGGGAAAGAAAUCCAGCUGGCUAAUACCCGGUUGGGAUGACGGUACCCAAAGAAUAAGCACCGGCUAACUUCGUGCCAGCAGCCGCCGUAA
This 507-nucleotide ribosomal RNA is filed under the name uncultured bacterium. Its description in RNAcentral is "partial 16S ribosomal RNA". It matches the Rfam family "Bacterial small subunit ribosomal RNA", at positions 29 to 523 of the family's 1533-position model. The record is from RNAcentral.